This 359-nucleotide ribosomal RNA is filed under the name Helice tientsinensis. Its description in RNAcentral is "partial 12S ribosomal RNA". The record is from RNAcentral. Lineage: Eukaryota; Metazoa; Arthropoda; Malacostraca; Decapoda; Varunidae.
UCUAAAAUAAAAUAAUCUAGACCAAAUUAGUAAGAGAUAAAUACUUAAAAUUUAAAAAAUUUGGCGGCAAUUUAAUCUUUUCAGAGGAACCUGUUUUGUAAUCGAUAAACCACGAAAAAUCUUACUUGUUCUUGUAAAUAAAACAGUUUGUAUACCAUCAUUAUCAGAUAAUUCUUAGAGGAGAAAUUAUUAAAUUUGGUUGUUUAGUUAAAUUAGAUCAUGGUGCAGUUUAUGGGCAAGGUAAAAUGGGUUACAAUAAAUUACUUUAUGGCGAAUUAAUAAAAUAAUUUUAUUAUGAAGAAGGAUUUGAUUGUAUUCUUAGUUUAAUAAGCUAACGAGAUAUAAGUUCUAAAUUGUGU